CUGGGUCUGGGGCUGGACGUUGACCUAGGACCCCGCCCCUGCCCGCCCUGCGCCGCGCCCCUCCCGGGCCGGCCUUGACCGAGCAGCUCCACGCGGGCCCGGGGCUCGUCCACCCGACAGGAGCGGGGGGCUGCAGCCCACGAGCCCACGAGCCCGCAGCGACGCACCCGGAGUGUAACCUCGCAGAGUCACGGAGACACUUUCCCGGUGUGGGCGCCUCGCCGCGCUUCCUCCCCGCGGGCUGCGGCCACCCCAGGGCAGGACAGAGCCGAGAUGCCCGGGUGGGAGCGAUGCCCGCGUGGGGGCGAUGCAACGGGGGAG
RNAcentral lists this long non-coding RNA (321 nucleotides) under Homo sapiens (human). RNAcentral's name for it is "LHRI_LNC760.1". Lineage: Eukaryota; Metazoa; Chordata; Mammalia; Primates; Hominidae. The record is from RNAcentral.